Molecule: long non-coding RNA, 1610 nt
Filed under: Equus caballus (horse)
Lineage: Eukaryota; Metazoa; Chordata; Mammalia; Perissodactyla; Equidae
Description: lncRNA (ENSECAG00000045862.1)
Source: RNAcentral
CUUCUGGGGAGAAGGAUUAUGAGUCAGUGCAUACUUCACCAAAUUCUAUAUUCCGUUGGCCAUGAUAGCCAUCAGUGUUGUGGCUAGUAAAUAGUGACGACUUCAUCAGCUUGGGUCCUGGAGUGAAAAUAAGGGGCCUCUGACCUGUGGUGAACAUGUAGUAGUUAUGUGAAGAUGUGAUGCCAAAGCUGUUGCAGCCAUCUUGUAGCCGUGAGGGGAUAAACCAACUGUGACUACCAGAUGAUGCAGAGGAAAGCCUAGUUCCUUUCUGUAAUUCUGCUGUAGAACCGAUCCUGGAACUGCCUGCCUCAGGACUUCUGGAAAGGUGAGAUAAUAAAUUUCUACUGUUUAAGUCAUUUUCAGUCAAAUGUUCUGUUACUCAGUUGCCAAAUUAACCAAAAUAUUAUGGGGGGUCAUUUUCUAGCCCUUAAACAUGGAGCUUUGUCCCACCUCCUUGUAAGGACUUUGAUCCCUAUGACCACGAUUCUCUUUCUCCAUCAGAACUCUCCCUUAUACUAACAAAUACGUUAGCCUGGAAAGUGUUGGAAUUUGGGGAUAUCCUGAGUUGGUAUCCCUAUUCCUCCACUUACUAGCUAUGAGACCUGGGACUAGUGACUUCACUACUCUGGGCUUUAUCUUUCUCAUCUGUAAGAUUUAGAUAAUACUAGCACUUAAACUUAGAGGCUGGUUGUGAGGCCAAUUGAGAUAAUACGUGUAAGUGCUUAACAUAGUGCCUGGUAAAUGGUAAGGAUUCAGUAGAUGUUAUGAAUUGCUAGCCUUUAAAAGCUAUUAAUCCCCUCUCUGGGGAUUAUUUAUUUAUUAGAGACAUAUAGAGGACCUUUGUUAUCUUUUGGCCACCAGGCAUCCAUUUAUCUUAUCAGGAAAUAGCCAUUUGAGACUCAAUCCUUCCUCCAUUCUUGGCCUCUUUGGCUCAAGUGGCACCCCACUCUACAACUCAGUUGAGAAAGCAUGCAACCCACGACUAAACCAUCAACCAUACCUCAUUUGACCCAUAUGACCAUGGCCGUAGUGAUUAUUCAGAUUCAGGCAUGCAAUGAAAUAAAACCCAAUGAGAUAUAAUGCCUGGGACAUCUUGGGAAGAUAGACUCUUUCCAACUGGUCUUGAACCUAAGAAGAUGAAGAAUUUGGAGCACUUGCCAUCAUGUUGCUAACAUGUUGCUCCAGUGGUUGAAACUAAUAAAGCGGAAGGCAGAACCAAGAAGCUGGGUCCUGCUGAUAUCAUUCAAACCCUGAAUCCAGCCAUGCUCUAAGCCUGCCCUGUUUCUGGACUCUGCAGGUAUGUGAACUACUAAAUUUUGCUUUUGUUUAACUCAGUUUGUUAGUUUUCUUUCAUUUGUGAUGAAAAGAACCCAAACUCAUACAAAAGUGAAGUUUUGUCCUAACUUAAAAUAUCCGGGGCCGGCCCAGUGGCGCAGCGCUUAAGUUCGCACAUUCCGCUUCUCAGCGGCCCGGGGUUCGCCGGUUCAGAUCCCGGGUGCAGACAUGGCACUGCUUGGCACGCCAUGCUGUGGUAGGCGUCCCACAUAUAAAGUAGAGGAAGAUGGGCACGAUGUUAGCUCAGGGCCAGGCUUCCUCAGCAAAAAGAGGAG